Hippopotamus amphibius kiboko is the source of this 102-nucleotide small nuclear RNA. NCBI's taxonomy places the organism in Eukaryota, Metazoa, Chordata, Mammalia, Artiodactyla, Hippopotamidae. The record is from RefSeq and is a predicted model, not a curated record.
UUGUUUCCACAGCAAAUAUACUGAAAUUGGAACCAUACGGAGAAGAUUAGCAUAGCCUCUGCCAAGGAUGACACAUAAAUUUGUGAAGUGUUUUUUAUUUUU